UACGUAGGGUGCAGGCGUUAAUCGGAAUUACUGGGCGUAAAGCGUGCGCAGGCGGUUCGUGAUGUCUGGUGUGAAAGCCCCGGGCUUAACCUGGGAAUUGCAUUGGAAACUAGCGGGCUGGAGUGUGGCAGAGGGGGGUGGAAUUCCACGUGUAGCAGUGAAAUGCGUAGAGAUGUGGAGGAACACCGAUGGCGAAGGCAGCCCCCUGGGCUAACACUGACGCUCAUGCACGAAAGCGUGGGGAGCAAACAGG
This 253-nucleotide ribosomal RNA is filed under the name uncultured bacterium. RNAcentral describes it as "partial 16S ribosomal RNA". It matches the Rfam family "Bacterial small subunit ribosomal RNA", at positions 524 to 776 of the family's 1533-position model. The record is from RNAcentral.